Long non-coding RNA from Bos taurus (domestic cattle), 2220 nucleotides. The record is from Ensembl. Lineage: Eukaryota; Metazoa; Chordata; Mammalia; Artiodactyla; Bovidae.
AGAAUAUGAGACAGGCCACAUGCUGUGCCCUGAGAAAGGUACAGACUGAGUGUGCUGGGCUUUCAGAGGAGAGAGGAAUCAGAUUUGGCCGGCACUGUUCCAAACAGGCUUUAUGAGCUGGAGCUUGAGAGGUGGGUAGACCUUGGAAGAUGGGUCCUCCCAGCAUGGGGGAAAUGGCACAGCAGACUGUGGAGGUUGGAAGAAGGGAGAAGAAAGGACUUUCCGAAUUGCGUUGGAAACUUUUUUAAUGAUCUCCUUAGCAGGGGCGAACUCAUCCUUACAGAUGCCUGCGGUCAGCGACGACUCAACUCUCUCGGAGGCUCCCUCGAGCGGGAGGAGCGAGCUUACGGCCUACUCGCGGCUCCCUCCCCUGCUUGUCGCUCUGGACCUCCACGUGGCCGGUUCGCGCAGCCCUCUGCCUUCUCGCCCCUCCAUUCUAGCGUUUCGCGCCGCCCCCCACGCCCCGGCCGGACCUGAAUGGGCUCUGCCCACUCGGGAGAGGCAUUCACCUCACCCAGCCCGGCAGGUGUGGCCCGCCAGACAAGUUGAUCGUCCCCUUCUCCCACCACUCUGGGAGGCCUCUGGAGGUCUUGGCAUGGUGGGGGGUCGUAACUGUUAGUUGCAGAUGGAAGUAGAAAUUUGGUCUAGAGUGGAGGGGAGCAGAAGACGACGCUGGGAGAGAUGGGAUGGAUGCAGGGCAAGGAAGUCUUCUCCAUCUCUGUCCUCGGUUGACCCAGAGUUCAGAGUCUCUUCCUGUCCCCUCCCCUCAAAACCACUAGGCCCCUGAAGAUUACCCCGCAGGGAAGAAGCAGGUGGGGAGGUGCUUUGAAGCCUGAGACCCCGCUUUUCUGCCUUACCCACCCUCCCACCCAAAGCCACAACAAAGACUCACGAAUCCUGCCACCCAGCCACAAGGCUUCUCCUUCCUCCUCUGGGCCUCUGUCCCCUCGGGUCUGGUGGGGCCAUUGUGAGGAUGACAGCCGCAGGGCGGGAGCUCAGAUGUCUGCCCAAACCAGGACUCUUCCUGGGGGGUGGGGACCUUUCCUACACCCCAGUCUCCUGGGGUGUCUGCAAGGUUUCCACCCCCCACCCCCACCCCACAUCCCGGGACACAGUGUACCUGGAGUGUGCCAGGGCAGGCAGGGAGGGGCUCCAUCCUCUGCCAAGUUCCAGGAAAUGCCCUGGCAGUCAGCACAGUCCUGGGCUCCAGGGCCUUCCAAGGUGGGGCGGGGGGUGGGUGGGGCAGGAUCCUAGGCUGCUGACAUGCCUCACCUGGGCCUCAACCCCCACUUCCCAGGCAUCUCGGGCACCUUUUGUAGCCAAAGUUGAGACGAUGGGUGCCAACCAUCUUCCCACACAUACAGGCGUCCUUCCCACACAUGUGCUUACCCAGCCAACGCUCACCAAAUCCCUCAGUCAGGAGCCACUUUCACUGUGUCGACUCCAGCCUUCUACCUGAUGGAUAAAAUCUUUCCACAGUAUCCCAGGCCAAUGUUCUGAAGCUGUUUGCAUACCCACAGUGACGAGGACACUCUUUUACGAGGCAGCCACAACUCUUUAGGAUGUCCCUGUGUCCAAGUCCAAUCGCCUAGAGGAUACCUGCCCUCACAUGGCCCAGGAGGGACGGAACUCACCCUCAGGUCCCUCACACCAGCUCCUCCUCCUUGCCUGCAGUAACCUUCCUACUGCCCAAACUCACCAUGAAGGAGGAUUAAUUCUUAACUCUUGGGCCUUCCCUGAUGGACCUGGUUACGAAUCUGUCUUGCAAUCCAAGGGAUGCCAGUUCGAUCCCUGGUCUGGAAAGAUCCCACAUGCAAUGGAGCAACAAAGUCUGUGUACCACAACUGCUGACCCCACACUUAAGAGCCCUUGAGCCACAACUACUAAAGCCCGUGCACCCAGAGCCCAUGUGCUCUAUAGCAAGAGAAGCCACUGCAAUGAGAAACCCGUGCACUGCAACUAGAGAGCAGCCCCCACUGGCUGCAUCUCGAGAAAGCCUGUGUUCAGCAAUGAAGACCCAGUGCAGGCAAAAAUAAAAAUCUAAAAAAAAAUUAACUUAAAAAUUUCUUAACUGUUUUCUCUCCUUCACCAUCUAUUACCAAAUUCUUCCCACUCCUGCUUUUAUUACAAGGUGUAUUGUUACUUUCCUCACGCCUUCCUUUCCAAUACCAUAGAUUCCACCUUUGGCCCAAAUUCCCACAGUCACUGCCACACUGUCCU